AGCAGCCGCGGUAAUUCCAGCUCCAAUAGCGUAUAUUAAAGUUGUUGCAGUUAAAAAGCUCGUAGUUGAAUUUCGGGAUUGACACAUCGGUCGUGCCUUAAGGGGUAUGAACUGGUGUAGUCAAUUUCUCACCUUCUGGAGAACCGCGAUGCCCUUAAUUGGGUGUCGCGGGGAACCAGGACCUUUACUUUGAAAAAAUUAGAGUGUUUAAAGCAGGCAUUUUGCUUGAAUACAUUAGCAUGGAAUAAUAAAAUAGGACGGCAUGAUUCUAUUUUGUUGGUUUCUAGGAUCACCGUAAUGAUUAAUAGGGAUAGUUGGGGGCAUUAGUAUUCAAUUGUCAGAGGUGAAAUUCUUGGAUUUAUUGAAGACUAACUACUGCGAAAGCAUUUGCCAAGGAUGUUUUCAUUAAUCAAGAACGAAAGUUAGGGGAUCGAAGACGACCAGAUACCG
This 450-nucleotide ribosomal RNA is filed under the name uncultured Glomeromycotina. RNAcentral's name for it is "SSU rRNA". It matches the Rfam family "Eukaryotic small subunit ribosomal RNA", at positions 569 to 1017 of the family's 1831-position model. The record is from RNAcentral. Lineage: Eukaryota; Fungi; Glomeromycota.